RNAcentral lists this non-coding RNA (23 nucleotides) under Arabidopsis thaliana (thale cress). Lineage: Eukaryota; Viridiplantae; Streptophyta; Magnoliopsida; Brassicales; Brassicaceae. The record is from RNAcentral.
GGCCAAAAAUUAGAUCCUCUAAU